CCUACGGGAGGCAGCAGUGGGGAAUCUUGCGCAAUGCGCGAAAGCGUGACGCAGCAACGCCGCGUGAGGGAAGACGGCCUUCGGGUUGUAAACCGCUUUCAGGAGGGACGAAGGUUCACCGGUGAAUAGCCGUGUGGAUUGACGGUACCUCCAGAAGAAGCUCCGGCUAACUACGUGCCAGCAGCCGCGGUAAUACGUAGGGAGCAAGCGUUGUCCGGAAUCAUUGGGCGUAAAGCGCGCGUAGGCGGCCUCAUAAGUCCGUUGUGAAAGUCAAAGGCUCAACCUUUGAAAGCCGAUGGAUACUGUGAGGCUAGAGUCCGGAAGAGGCGAGUGGAAUUCCUGGUGUAGCGGUGGAAUGCGCAGAUAUCAGGAGGAACACCAAUAGCGAAGGCAGCUCGCUGGGACGGUACCGACGCUAAGGCGCGAAAGCGUGGGGAGCGAACAGGAUUAGAUACCCUGGUAGUCCACACCGUAAACGUUGGGCGCUAGGUGUGGGACCUAUUCCAUGGGUUCCGUGCCGUAGCUAACGCAUUAAGCGCCCCGCCUGGGGAGUACGGCCGCAAGGCUAAAACUCAAAAGGAAUUGACGGGGGCCCGCACAAGCGGCGGAGCAUGCGGAUUAAUUCGAUGCAACGCGAAGAACCUUACCUGGGUUUGACAUACACCGGAAGCCUUUAGAGAUAGAGGUCUCUUUGAUACCGGGUGUACAGGUGGUGCAUGGCUGUCGUCAGCUCGUGUCGUGAGAUGUUUGGGUUAAAGUCCCCGCAACGAGCGCAACCCUCGUUUCAUGUUGCCAGCAG
RNAcentral lists this ribosomal RNA (799 nucleotides) under uncultured bacterium. RNAcentral describes it as "bacterial SSU rRNA". It matches the Rfam family "Bacterial small subunit ribosomal RNA", at positions 338 to 1124 of the family's 1533-position model. The record is from RNAcentral.